RNAcentral lists this ribosomal RNA (105 nucleotides) under Neobacillus cucumis. The record is from RNAcentral. Lineage: Bacteria; Bacillati; Bacillota; Bacilli; Caryophanales; Bacillaceae.
UGGCGAGAAGGUCACACCCGUUCCCAUACCGAACACGGAAGUUAAGCUUCUCAGCGCCGAUGGUAGUUGGGACCUUGUCCCUGUGAGAGUAGGACGUUGCCAGGC